AGUAAAUGGUUGUGUCACAGCUUGGUCGCCUGACAGAGCUUCAACAAAAGCUGGUUGUGUCCUCUACUAGUCUCUACUUGCAGAACAGAAUAUGUUACGCAGUGUUCUUAUCCGUUAUUAAAGAGGUAUCCCUGGAGAGUGGAAUGGUGCUGAAUGAGGGGGAGUUGACUGCAUUCUUUAUCAAACACAGUACAAAUCCUGAUGUGCUGGACAAACACCUCUCCUUAUCACUUACUUGCCCUGCUAAGCUGAAAGAGCUGAUUUUCAACGAACUAUCUAAUUUAAAGAUAAGCUUACCCCCUCGCGGUUUUUUGCUGGACUCGGAAUUCAUCGUGGGGGUAGCCAGCAAGGGGAGCCCUUUCAUUAAAAUGGACGUUACUCUCAGUGACGGAAAAGGAGGGAUUGAAAAUAAAAACUUCAAUAUGAGUUUGCACACUUUUAAUAGAUUAGAACAGUCAUCAAAUGAAAUUAAAAAUCUGUGCAGUCACUAAAAUCUGGUCGAUAAUAAUCAACGAUCAUAUUAUUAUGAUCGUUGCGUUGUUGAUUUUAAUUUUGUUAACUCGAUUGAUUGUUGUUUUAAGAGUAUUUUGAUUUUAGUGGUUUUAUGUCUGAUUUUAUUUCUGAUUUGAUAAUGUUUCUAAAAGUUAAAAUGUUAACACCGUACUUUUUCAUAUAAAAAUUGUACUGUAUUACUAUGUAUAGUGUAGGGUUAUGCAAAAUGAAAUGUAUAUAAUACACAUUAACUUUAUAUUAUGCACAAUUUAUUAUUUUAUUUGUAGUAAAUACGCUGUCAAUAAUUCACCAGCAACCUCGGCAUGGGCCAGUCGUACUAACUAAAUUUAAAUAGGCAGCUACAUACCUCACAUACCUGGUUCCUAUCUAACAACUCAGAAAGUGCAUUAUUAGAAGAUGAUUAAAACUUUACAAAUCCUUAAGGCCACUUUAACUGUGCUCAACUAUGCUUGUAUUAUGAGCUUUAUUUUGAAUAGUUUUUUACAAUAUUUAGUGUC
Molecule: long non-coding RNA, 1010 nt
Organism: Bolinopsis microptera
Lineage: Eukaryota; Metazoa; Ctenophora; Tentaculata; Lobata; Bolinopsidae
Exons: 3
Source: RefSeq, a predicted model, not a curated record